Long non-coding RNA from Bos taurus (domestic cattle), 603 nucleotides. The record is from Ensembl. Lineage: Eukaryota; Metazoa; Chordata; Mammalia; Artiodactyla; Bovidae.
GUCUAUCCGGUUAACUAGGUCAUCAUUGCCCAAACCUGCGUGGCCUGAAAUAAGACAAUAAAGGACCAAAGGGGCCACACAGACACGUACGAGCUAUGUGAUGUGCCUGCCCUUGUUUCUUUUCUCAGCUGAGGCCCCUCCUGCCUUGCCUCUGUCCUCAUCCACCUGUCUUGGAUUUUGACUUGUGAGACAGGGCUGGGGCCUUUCAGGUCCUAAUCUGCAAAACUGGAAUAAAAAUCCCUUUUGCGAUCAUUAUCCAAAGAUGUGAACAGAACGGAUGUGAAAAUAUGCUCCAAGGAAUCCUCAUCUUUCAACCUCAAUAAAACUUUGUAUAAAACAUCUGCCCUGAAGGGAGGCUUUAACCCCGAGCAGCAUGGGCUCAGAGGACAUCACGUCAGGACACACGGACCUUUACGGGGAAGAUGUGUUCUCAUCCGGGCCAGGUGUUCAUGGCAGACUCGCACCCCAUCCUUAACUGUGUCAGCAGCCUGGUCUGGAAUCAGAUGCAAGGAAGGGAAAAUCCUUUUCAUGAAUUCACAGAAGGUUUCACCACGUGCUCUUGCCAUGAAGCCUUUUCACCAUGCACCGUUGUUACUAGCACAC